Molecule: transfer RNA, 66 nt
Filed under: Agriotes hirayamai
Lineage: Eukaryota; Metazoa; Arthropoda; Insecta; Coleoptera; Elateridae
Description: tRNA-Ala
Source: RNAcentral
AGGAUAAUAGUUUAAAUAAAACAUUUAACUUGCACUUAAAAAAUUUUGGAUUAAUCAACUUAUCUU